RNAcentral lists this ribosomal RNA (465 nucleotides) under Vreelandella stevensii. RNAcentral's name for it is "partial 16S ribosomal RNA". It matches the Rfam family "Bacterial small subunit ribosomal RNA", at positions 338 to 795 of the family's 1533-position model. Lineage: Bacteria; Pseudomonadati; Pseudomonadota; Gammaproteobacteria; Oceanospirillales; Halomonadaceae. The record is from RNAcentral.
CCUACGGGUGGCUGCAGUGGGGAAUAUUGGACAAUGGGCGAAAGCCUGAUCCAGCCAUGCCGCGUGUGUGAAGAAGGCCUUCGGGUUGUAAAGCACUUUCAGUGGGGAAGAAAGCCUUGGGGCUAAUACCCUCGAGGAAGGACAUCACCCACAGAAGAAGCACCGGCUAACUCCGUGCCAGCAGCCGCGGUAAUACGGAGGGUGCGAGCGUUAAUCGGAAUUACUGGGCGUAAAGCGCGCGUAGGCGGUCUGAUAAGCCGGUUGUGAAAGCCCCGGGCUCAACCUGGGAACGGCAUCCGGAACUGUCAGGCUAGAGUGCAGGAGAGGAAGGUAGAAUUCCCGGUGUAGCGGUGAAAUGCGUAGAGAUCGGGAGGAAUACCAGUGGCGAAGGCGGCCUUCUGGACUAACACUGACGCUGAGGUGCGAAAGCGUGGGUAGCAAACAGGAUUAGAUACCCGUGUAGUC